Molecule: ribosomal RNA, 465 nt
Filed under: Vreelandella stevensii
Lineage: Bacteria; Pseudomonadati; Pseudomonadota; Gammaproteobacteria; Oceanospirillales; Halomonadaceae
Description: partial 16S ribosomal RNA
Rfam family: Bacterial small subunit ribosomal RNA
Source: RNAcentral
CCUACGGGGGGCAGCAGUGGGGAAUAUUGGACAAUGGGGGCAACCCUGAUCCAGCCAUGCCGCGUGCGUGAAGAAGGCCCUCGGGUUGUAAAGCACUUUCAGUGAGGAAGAACGCCUGGUGGUUAAUACCCAUCAGGAAAGACAUCACUCACAGAAGAAGCACCGGCUAACUCCGUGCCAACAGCCGCGGUAAUACGGAGGGUGCGAGCGUUAAUCGGAAUUACUGGGCGUAAAGCGCGCGUAGGUGGCUUGAUAAGCCGGUUGUGAAAGCCCCGGGCUCAACCUGGGAACGGCAUCCGGAACUGUCAAGCUAGAGUGCAGGAGAGGAAGGUAGAAUUCCCGGUGUAGCGGUGAAAUGCGUAGAGAUCGGGAGGAAUACCAGUGGCGAAGGCGGCCUUCUGGACUGACACUGACACUGAGGUGCGAAAGCGUGGGUAGCAAACAGGAUUAGAUACCCGUGUAGUC